AAUAGCAUGCUUGACAAAAAGGUCGUUUUGAUAGAACGAAUCAUGAGAGCCCGCCCCUCUGCUAUUA
RNAcentral lists this transfer RNA (67 nucleotides) under Typhlatya mitchelli. RNAcentral describes it as "tRNA-Ile". Lineage: Eukaryota; Metazoa; Arthropoda; Malacostraca; Decapoda; Atyidae. The record is from RNAcentral.